GUACGCCACUUGAGCCCGCCGCCGUUUCCCCUUCGCUAAUGAUACCAGCGGAGCCUCUCUGGGGAAUGGCGUCCGUCGUGCGCCUGGCUUUCACAUUUCCAGCACCAGAGGAGAACGUCAGGUGGCGAUGGAAAGCACGCGGCCGCCCCGAGUCACCUCGUGUCGCCACUGAUUUCCUUCAUAGCUCAGGUCACAGCCCCCUAACCCCUCCCUGCGGCUCAGCACCAGGCUGCUUCUGACAGGAUGGGUUUGACCUCUGACCCCUGGAGCAGACAGCUCAAUCAGCUUCUUUACGGAGGAGUCACAGCGGAGAAAGAGCGAGAGCGCGGCUCUGAGGGAGAAGGACACUGGCGGCCUCUUUGGUAGUUUCCUUCUGUGACACGGCAAAUCACUUUGGGCGUUGACACCGAUCCUCGGCUUGUUACUAACUUCCUUUAUUUUCCCGAUUUCGUAAUCAGUGAUCUUUAUUAAUCAGUUUUUAUUUCAACUGCUCACGCCUCAAAAGUCACAGCUCGGUGUCGAAGGAUAACAAUUUGAUUGAGUGCGUAUUUUUGUAUUAAAUGACAAAAAGGGAGAAAUCUGGCCCCUCGUUCACAGCGGCUCCUGCCAGUGAUGUUCUUGCUCCCUCACGUCCUCUUGAGCUCCACCACUGAUUUAACCUCCAGAGAUGAGCAGCCAGUGAUCACAACGCUCAGAGGAAGUUAGCGGCCUCCACUCUCCAGAGGCCGGCACUUCCUCUUGAUUUCGCCUGUUCUGUCAAGAAAGAAAAGGAAGGUAGAGAUAAAAAAAAAUAAAAAAAAUACACCCCUGCUAUGCUGUGUGUGUGGGCUUCACACAACUGUAAAACUGCGUCAUCAGCACAAAGAUGAAGCUCUGAGAGUGUGUGUGUGUGUAUGAGUCGGUGUGUGUGCGUGCGCGCGUGUGUGUGUGUGUGAGCGUGUGUGUAUUUUAGGCAAGGUGCCUGCCCUGGAGCUAGAUAAUGUGAACAGAAGCAGAUGGGGAAACUUAAACGCACACCCACUAGGGUAUAGCAGAGCUGGCACAAAGUAAGAACAGGUCUUAGAACAUCUCCCAGCCGGAGUGGAUGCCAGCACUCUCGCUAGCACUGAGACUGGAUGACAAAGAGAGUGGAAAAGAGAGAGAAAAUCUGUUUCGAUGCUACUCUGUGUGUGUGUGUGUGUGUGUCUGUCUCUGCAUGUGAGUGUGUAUGUGUGUUUUGUACAGUACCUCCACUGUUUUGUUCUUUUUUUGCAUAUUUAUUCUUUCACGGAACUGUCGGCCCUCUGUCCUUCUGUUUUGUGUCUCAUCUGUUGUGCGCCGGUGCCGAGCAUGUUGUGAGUUUGAGAAACACCUCUCCAGUCAACAUGAAAACACUCGGUGGGUAUUUGUUUUAAAACCGUGACGAACGUCGGAUUAAAUGAAAACAUGAUGAAGUUCGAUUCAGAUUUUCACCCAAAUUUAAAAAAGUAUUUAUCUAAAGGCCAUUUUUCAUGAUACUGCGCAGUUCAUUAUGACAAAACCAAAGACAAACAUGAGUUUCCUGCACUGUACAUGUUUGUCCCACGAAAGUCUGGAUCAAAUGCAUUUACACUUUUAACUAUUCAC
Molecule: long non-coding RNA, 1605 nt
Organism: Platichthys flesus (European flounder)
Lineage: Eukaryota; Metazoa; Chordata; Actinopteri; Pleuronectiformes; Pleuronectidae
Exons: 3
Source: RefSeq, a predicted model, not a curated record